RNAcentral lists this ribosomal RNA (274 nucleotides) under uncultured bacterium. RNAcentral describes it as "partial 16S ribosomal RNA". It matches the Rfam family "Bacterial small subunit ribosomal RNA", at positions 523 to 796 of the family's 1533-position model. The record is from RNAcentral.
AGACGGAGGGGGCAAGCGUUGUUCGGAAUUAUUGGGCGUAAAGCGCGCGUAGGCGGUCAGGUCAGUCGGACGUGAAAGCCCAGGGCUCAACCCUGGAAGUGCGUUCGAUACUGCUUGACUUGAGUACGGGAGAGGAGAGUGGAAUUCCCAGUGUAGCGGUGAAAUGCGUAGAUAUUGGGAGGAACACCGGUGGCGAAGGCGGCUCUCUGGACCGUCACUGACGCUGAGGCGCGAAAGCUAGGGGAGCAAACAGGAUUAGAUACCCCGGUAGUCC